Molecule: ribosomal RNA, 1271 nt
Filed under: Pyganodon grandis (giant floater mussel)
Lineage: Eukaryota; Metazoa; Mollusca; Bivalvia; Unionida; Unionidae
Description: 16S ribosomal RNA
Rfam family: Bacterial large subunit ribosomal RNA (bases 822-1192)
Source: RNAcentral
GCAAAACUAAACUUUUUUACAAAAUCUUAAAGAAAAUUUUCACUAAAAAUAGUAUUCUAUAAAAAAUAACUCAUUUUAUCCAACCGCGAGGACUAAUAUUCAGCUUUCUCAAGAAAUGAUGACCCCAUGUCCCUCUUGCAUCAUGGAGAAGCAACAAAAACAUACUAAUAUACACUCCCGAAUGACUAUGAGCUACUAAUCCUUAAAAACCAAUGUCUCAUAAUUGGUAAAGUAACUUUUAGUAGAAGCAACAAACCUUUCAUAUAGUCAUAUAGCUGGUUUUUCUUUAAAAGCAUCAAAGUGCUGGCUUAUAGGGCAAAUUUACUAUAGCAAUCUAUAAAGCUUAACCUACUGAGGAUUAGCUCAGUAGGGGCCUAAAAAUAUCUUAUUCACUAAUCUCAUUAGUAGGCUUAAAAACAGCCAUCCGAUAACGUUUUAGUUAAUGCAAAUACUUUGACCAAAUAUCUACUCCUCCCAUUUUAAAAUCAAAGAAAUUUAACAAAAAAUCUCUUUGUUACUAAACAGGCAUUCUAUUAGUAUUAACAUAAACCACUACUCAAUACUUCUUAAAACCAUGAGUAAAAAAAUUUUACAAGCUAAAAUACGCGAAGUGAACUCGGCAAAUAAGUUCCCUGCCUGUUUAUCAAAAACAUCGUUUUCUGAAAAAUCCCCGAUAGAAAAUAAUGCCUGCCCAGUGAAAUUUAAACGGCCGCGUUAGCGUGAGCGUGCUAAGGUAGCGUAAUAAUUAGCCUUUUAAUUGGAGGCCAGUGAAUGGCAAGACUAGGAACACCUUUACUUUGCGUAUGAAAAAAACUUUUCGUCUAAGUGAAAAGACUUAGAUAAUGAAGGUAGACGAAAAGACCCCGCGGAACUUUACCUUCUCUUCUACAAUUGUGUACUCACCCUAAGUGUAUAAGGUUUGAUUGGGGCAAUCUUGGAAUCAACAAAGCUUCCAAUUCCUAAAAAAAUUUAUUUAAAAUUUACUAAGGACCAAAAAGAAGUUACCCCGGGGAUAACAGCGUAAUCCAACUUAAGAGUACAUAUCGAAAGUUGGGUUUGCGACCUCGAUGUUGGCUUAAGGAUAUCCACAUAAGUGCAACCGCUAUGAUAGGAUAGUCUGUUCGACUAUUAUACCCUUACACGAGCUGAGUUAAGACCGGCGCAAGCUAGGUUGGUUUCUAUCUCCUUUAUACAAAAAUCUUCUUGAUUGUACGAAAGGACCCCAAGAGUUGCUACAUAACAGCACUUUUUAUCAGUUAACUUUAUUUUAC